GUGCUAAUACAUGCAGUCGAACGAACUCUGGUAUUGAUUGGUGCUUGCAUCAUGAUUUACAUUUGAGUGAGUGGCGAACUGGUGAGUAACACGUGGGAAACCUGCCCAGAAGCGGGGGAUAACACCUGGAAACAGAUGCUAAUACCGCAUAACAACUUGGACCGCAUGGUCCGAGUUUGAAAGAUGGCUUCGGCUAUCACUUUUGGAUGGUCCCGCGGCGUAUUAGCUAGAUGGUGGGGUAACGGCUCACCAUGGCAAUGAUACGUAGCCGACCUGAGAGGGUAAUCGGCCACAUUGGGACUGAGACACGGCCCAAACUCCUACGGGAGGCAGCAGUAGGGAAUCUUCCACAAUGGACGAAAGUCUGAUGGAGCAACGCCGCGUGAGUGAAGAAGGGUUUCGGCUCGUAAAACUCUGUUGUUAAAGAAGAACAUAUCUGAGAGUAACUGUUCAGGUAUUGACGGUAUUUAACCAGAAAGCCACGGCUAACUACGUGCCAGCAGCCGCGGUAAUACGUAGGUGGCAAGCGUUGUCCGGAUUUAUUGGGCGUAAAGCGAGCGCAGGCGGUUUUUUAAGUCUGAUGUGAAAGCCUUCGGCUCAACCGAAGAAGUGCAUCGGAAACUGGGAAACUUGAGUGCAGAAGAGGACAGUGGAACUCCAUGUGUAGCGGUGAAAUGCGUAGAUAUAUGGAAGAACACCAGUGGCGAAGGCGGCUGUCUGGUCUGUAACUGACGCUGAGGCUCGAAAGUAUGGGUAGCAAACAGGAUUAGAUACCCUGGUAGUCCAUACCGUAAACGAUGAAUGCUAAGUGUUGGAGGGUUUCCGCCCUUCAGUGCUGCAGCUAACGCAUUAAGCAUUCCGCCUGGGGAGUACGGCCGCAAGGCUGAAACUCAAAGGAAUUGACGGGGCCCGCACAAGCGGUGGAGCAUGUGGUUUAA
RNAcentral lists this ribosomal RNA (938 nucleotides) under Lactiplantibacillus plantarum. RNAcentral's name for it is "bacterial SSU rRNA". It matches the Rfam family "Bacterial small subunit ribosomal RNA", at positions 44 to 949 of the family's 1533-position model. The record is from RNAcentral. Lineage: Bacteria; Bacillati; Bacillota; Bacilli; Lactobacillales; Lactobacillaceae.